GCGGAUUAAUACCGUAUGAGGUCACAUGCGGGCAUCUAAUUGUGACGAAAGGUUUGGCGGACAUGGAUGGGGAUGCGUCCGAUUAGCUUGUUGGCGGGGUAACGGCCCACCAAGGCGACGAUCGGUAGGGGUUCUGAGAGGAAGGUCCCCCACAUUGGAACUGAGACACGGUCCAAACUCCUACGGGAGGCAGCAGUGAGGAAUAUUGGUCAAUGGACGUAAGUCUGAACCAGCCAAGUAGCGUGCAGGAUGACGGCCCUAUGGGUUGUAAACUGCUUUUAUGCGGGGAUAAAGUUUGGGAUGUAUCCCAUUUUGCAGGUACCGCAUGAAUAAGGACCGGCUAAUUCCGUGCCAGCAGCCGCGGUAAUACGGAAGGUCCGGGCGUUAUCCGGAUUUAUUGGGUUUAAAGGGAGCGUAGGCCGUCGUUUAAGCGUGUUGUGAAAUGCCGCGGCUCAACCGUGGCACUGCAGCGCGAACUGGAUGACUUGAGUUCGCGGGAGGUAGGCGGAAUUCGUGGUGUAGCGGUGAAAUGCUUAGAUAUCACGAAGAACUCCGAUUG
RNAcentral lists this ribosomal RNA (559 nucleotides) under uncultured Bacteroidales bacterium. RNAcentral describes it as "bacterial SSU rRNA". It matches the Rfam family "Bacterial small subunit ribosomal RNA", at positions 158 to 715 of the family's 1533-position model. The record is from RNAcentral. Lineage: Bacteria; Pseudomonadati; Bacteroidota; Bacteroidia; Bacteroidales.